UUCUUUGCAGCAUCAAGAGCAAGAGCUCGGUCACACGCAUCAAUUGUCUUUUGAAGGACUUCCUCUGGAAGUGGCUUGCCACUCGUUGUUGAUGCUGUUACUGAUACCACCAUAAUAAUAGCUGAGGGUAAAAGUCCUUCCAGGUCUACAAGGGUUAAAUCCAUCUCAUUGCCGAUCUUCUUCACCACACGUGCAUAAUCAAUAGGAUGGUGGACGAGUGAUUCAAGCUCGGGAAAUUUCAAACGGUACUUGUCACGGAUAAAAUUGUGGAUUAUAAUUAUUUCAUUCUCAAUGUCAACUGAUAAGGCAUUGCAAUCCACAAUAAGCUGAUAUUCAGGGUCAUCUUCUAGUACCAAACCCUGAUUGGAGAUAUCAGAACCCUUCUCAAGAGCAUCUUCUACUUUCUGCAUUAUGUCAUUGUAUCUCUGUGUUUUCUGCAAUUUAGAGACACUAUCCAAAUCAUCAUAAUUAAGACUUUCAAUGUCUGCCAUGUCCCCAUCAACGUCUUCCUCCAUGUUUCCAGCAUCAACGUCAUCUUCCUCUAUAAGAUCAGCAUCAUUGUCAGAUAACUCAUCGAGGUCCGCCAGGAAAGAAUCAGCAAGAGUUGCCAUUUUUUUUUUUUUGGCUUGAGAUUCAGGAGACGGGAACUCGGGUGCUUUGCCUUCUAGGGUUUAGCCCUCGCCGCAAGCAGAGAACAAGCAAUUAGAGAAAUUUUUUUUUUUCCC
Molecule: unclassified non-coding RNA, 725 nt
Filed under: Hevea brasiliensis (rubber tree)
Lineage: Eukaryota; Viridiplantae; Streptophyta; Magnoliopsida; Malpighiales; Euphorbiaceae
Source: RNAcentral